CCUACGGGAGGCAGCAGUGGGGAAUAUUGGGCAAUGGGCGCAAGCCUGACCCAGCAACGCCGCGUGAAGGAAGAAGGCUUUCGGGGUGUAAACUUCUUUUGACAGGGAAGAGCAGAAGACGGUACCUGUCGAAUAAGCCACGGCUAACUACGUGCCAGCAGCCGCGGUAAUACGUAGGUGGCAAGCGUUGUUCGGAUUUACUGGGUGUAAAGGGCGUGUAGCCGGGCUGACAAGUCAGAUGUGAAAUCCGGGGGCUCAACCCCCGAACUGCAUUUGAAACUGUUGGUCUUGAGUAUCGGUGAGGCAGGCGGAAUUCCUAGUGUAGCGGUGAAAUGCGUAGAUAUUAGGAGGAACACCAGUGGCGAAGGCGGCCUGCUGGACGACAACUGACGGUGAGGCGCGAAAGCGUGGGGAGCAAACAGGAUUAGAUACCCUUGUAGUC
This 442-nucleotide ribosomal RNA is filed under the name uncultured bacterium. RNAcentral describes it as "partial 16S ribosomal RNA". It matches the Rfam family "Bacterial small subunit ribosomal RNA", at positions 338 to 795 of the family's 1533-position model. The record is from RNAcentral.